This 314-nucleotide ribosomal RNA is filed under the name uncultured bacterium. RNAcentral describes it as "bacterial SSU rRNA". It matches the Rfam family "Bacterial small subunit ribosomal RNA", at positions 28 to 345 of the family's 1533-position model. The record is from RNAcentral.
GACGAACGCUGGCGGCGUGCUUAACACAUGCAAGUCGAGCGGUAAGGCCCUUCCGGGGUACGACGAGCGGCGAACGGGUGAGUAACACGUGGGUGACCUGCCCUCAGCUCUGGGAUAAGCCUGGGAAACUGGGUCUAAUACUGGAUAUGACUCCACGGUGCAUGUCGUGGGGUGGAAAGCCUUGUGCGGCUGAGGAUGGGCCCGCGGCCUAUCAGCUUGUUGGUGGGGUGAUGGCCUACCAAAGGCGACGACGGUAGCCGGCCUGAGAGGCGACGGCCACACUGGGACUGAGACACGGCCCAGACUCCUACGGG